This 514-nucleotide ribosomal RNA is filed under the name uncultured bacterium. RNAcentral's name for it is "bacterial SSU rRNA". It matches the Rfam family "Bacterial small subunit ribosomal RNA", at positions 8 to 522 of the family's 1533-position model. The record is from RNAcentral.
AGAGUUUGAUCCUGGCUCAGGAUGAACGCUGGCGGCGCGCUUAACCCAUGCAAGUCGAACGGACCGACGUUUGAGUAGACCUUCGGGCGAACGAAGGCGUUGGUUAGUGGCAAACGGGUGAGUAACACGUGGGUGACCUGUCCCAAAGUGGGGAAUAACUGUCCGAAAGGGCGGCUAAUUCCGCAUGUGGUCCGUCAUUCGGUUGGCGGAUUAAAGGAGCAAUUCGCUUUGGGAGGGGCCCGCGGCCGAUUAGCUAGUUGGUAGGGUAAAGGCCUACCAAGGCGAUGAUCGGUAGCUGGUCUGAGAGGAUGAUCAGCCACACUGGCACUGAGACACGGGCCAGACUCCUACGGGAGGCAGCAGGGAGGAAUAUUGGACAAUGGGGGAAACCCUGAUCCAGCGACGCCGCGUGGGCGAUGAAGGUCUUCGGAUCGUAAAGCCCUUUUCUGAGGGAAGAGAUAGGACGGUACCUCAGGAAUAAGUCUCGGCUAACUACGUGCCAGCAGCCGCGGUA